Molecule: transfer RNA, 62 nt
Filed under: Protaeolidiella atra
Lineage: Eukaryota; Metazoa; Mollusca; Gastropoda; Nudibranchia; Aeolidiidae
Description: tRNA-Arg
Source: RNAcentral
UACCUGAAAGCGAAUUCGCGCUAAGUUUCGGCCUUAGUUUUGAGAAAUAAUCUCUUAGGUAU